CCGGUUUCCUGCGUUGCGUACCUACGCGAAGGCAUUACGUUGUUGUCCCAACGACCCUCGUUCGUGUAGAGCUCCCCUUUUUGGCGGGGCACAAGACGAAAGUUGCUGCUUGGUCCGUUACCCACGUCGCGUCCGGCUGUCGUGGUGAACGGGGCCUUGCUCUUAAGCUCUCGGAUACGGAAAUCAUUGAGGGGCACGGGCGGGUCGCCCUUGCCCGAGCACGCAUUAGAUCGGACCCUAACGACGACGGUGCACGACUGUCGCUCCCGCCUCGGUUCGUCCGUGCGGGCAGGACGUCGUCGAGGAAUGCUACCUGGUUGA
This 321-nucleotide unclassified non-coding RNA is filed under the name Vincetoxicum biglandulosum. RNAcentral's name for it is "contains 5' external transcribed spacer, ETS". The record is from RNAcentral. Lineage: Eukaryota; Viridiplantae; Streptophyta; Magnoliopsida; Gentianales; Apocynaceae.